Culex pipiens pallens (northern house mosquito) is the source of this 840-nucleotide long non-coding RNA. RefSeq lists it as uncharacterized. The transcript is spliced from 2 exons. The record is from RefSeq and is a predicted model, not a curated record. NCBI's taxonomy places the organism in Eukaryota, Metazoa, Arthropoda, Insecta, Diptera, Culicidae.
ACCUUUCACCACAUAGUUGCAUGAAAAUUCCUGUGGCAGCUAAUUUUUGUCCCAAAACAAUGUUUUGCAUGAGUCAUGCAACAAUCGCAAUGCAUUCAUGUCAACUCUUCAUGAUUUUCACGCAGCAUACACUCAUACAACUAAAUGUCACGUGAAAUUCAUGCUUGAAAAUUUGGAGGCGUGGCUUGCAGUCAGCUGCUUGUUGGUUUGCAUGAUAAUCAUGCAACACCCGCAUGGAAACUGGUAUGGAAAAAAUCCAUACACCUUUUCAAGCAACAUUGUGGUGAAAUUGUUAGUGUAAGUUGGUAUGGUUGGGAUGGUGCAUGAAAUUCCUGUCUGAAAAUUUCUAGCUGGGCGUGCAAGUCUCCAGCCGGUCAGUUUGCUGCUGAUUCUCAUCAAAUGAACAUCGUUUCGGUUUUUUUCUCGUAAAAUUUAGAACUCUAGUCGUUUCCCGAAUCUGCUUGCGGUAUUUUUUUUCGGAGUAAAAUAUUUGCGUAAAAUAGCCACUGAACCAGUAGUUCCAGCGCGCAACCAUCGGAGCCGGCCAACCGUAACCUGGAGCAGGACUCGGGCGAAGCCAAAAAGGUCCAGGUCACCAAGGUUACCAGGGAGCCAACGAUGCAGAGGAGUAGGCGACGAAGGCGUCGGUCCUGUACGACAACAGGUUUAGACACCCCGCGAGCAGCAAACGAUACGCCGGAACCAUGGGUGCGUCCUGAAUUUCCAGACAUGUCAAACGAGUUUAUUGUGUAGAGUGUUGUUGUGUUAUUCAGAUUGUCGUGCUAGUGUGAUUGUGUAUAAGUGAAUAAAAACAGCGAAAAUAAAAAUUUUAAAGAACUA